GGAGGAAAGCAGGGGAUCGCAAGACCUUGCGCUUUUGGAGCGGCCGAUGUCUGAUUAGCUAGUUGGUGAGGUAAAGGCUUACCAAGGCGUCGAUCAGUAGCUGGUCUGAGAGGACGACCAGCCACACUGGGACUGAGACACGGCCCAGACUCCUACGGGAGGCAGCAGUGGGGAAUUUUGGACAAUGGGGGAAACCCUGAUCCAGCCAUGCCGCGUGAGUGAAGAAGGCCUUCGGGUUGUAAAGCUCUUUCAGCCGGAACGAAACGGUCACAGCUAAUACCUGUGACUACUGACGGUACCGGAAGAAGAAGCACCGGCUAACUACGUGCCAGCAGCCGCGGUAAUACGUAGGGUGCAAGCGUUAAUCGGAAUUACUGGGCGUAAAGCGUGCGCAGGCGGUUUUGUAAGUCAGAUGUGAAAUCCCCGGGCUUAACCUGGGAACUGCGUUUGAAACUACAAAGCUAG
Molecule: ribosomal RNA, 465 nt
Filed under: uncultured beta proteobacterium
Lineage: Bacteria; Pseudomonadati; Pseudomonadota; Betaproteobacteria
Description: bacterial SSU rRNA
Rfam family: Bacterial small subunit ribosomal RNA
Source: RNAcentral